AGUAACCUAUGGAUUUGCAGGGAGAUAGCAGGGUCCGAAAGGCGGAAGAGAGGGGCUUCUAAAGCCUUAGUCAUGCUGACUUUGGCAUUUCCUAGCUCAGGCUUCUGACCGCCAAGGCCUUGCAGGCCUUGUGCCUGCUACACUUCCCCCUCUGAAACACUCACAGAGACACUGAUUUCUCUUCUUUCAUUUUCUUUUUUUUUUUUUGUUUUGGUUUUUUUGGGUUUUUUUGUUUUUUGUUUUGUGUAUGUGCCACUUCAUUAGGCCUUUGAGUUUCCGCCUCUGGAUUCCUUUGCUUCUCAUACAUCUUCCUUAAAAAUGUGUUUUCCCAAAGUAGUUGCUAUUUUAGCUGAAAUAAGCCAGAAAUAUCUCAGUUGUAAAACUGUGGUUUAUAAUCUCAGUCUGUGGGAGGAAAUUUGGUGAAAAUCUAAGGAUAUUAAUUCAUGUUGGGCUUCCAUUCCACUGUAAACCCUGUCUGCUUUUUUUUGGCAAAACUACUUGCUAACUUCAUCCUGUAUUUAUAUAGCAGGAGAUUCACAGUAACCACAAUUUAUGAUAAUACUGAGAAAGUGGAGAGCUUAAAUAUUACAUAAUUUCAAUUAAAAAGACGAAUGAACUGUUAUAAACUUGGAUCUAAACAAGGAUAUCCGCUCUGCGGAUACAUUUUGCACUGCAAAUGUGUCAUCUGUCAGUGGUAGAGUUUAGUAGGAAAUAAAAUUUUAACAAUUCUCUGUGAACAGCAAGCAGUACUGUGUACAAGCAAGGAGGGUAGGGAGAAAAAUGGGUUCAGUGGAUCUUUCAGCUACUCUUAACUCAUUAUAACCAAAUAUGCAAGUGUUUACUGUUUGGGAGGAGGAGGAAAACAAGAGAGGAGGGAAACAAGAUGUAUGCUUCUGCAAACACACUGGACUGGACAUUUAAUGGCUGAAUACAUGUCUGUGGCAGCUUCUGAUACAACGACACAAGCAUCGUCUCCACUGCAACUUAGCAGAAAAAAUAGAUGAAACAAAAAUCUCCUUCCCCACACAGUGUUACCAACAAAGAUAAGAGAAGGAAUCCCAGUGUGACCUUCCUACCUUUGUGGGCUGUGACACGAUGUUUUUAUAGGGAAAGGAAAAGCCAAAGAGGAAAGAACCAGCUGAGAUAUAAGUAUGGAUUGCUUUGACCCUUAGUGACAAUGAAAACACGCAUGAGGAUUCUGAGGACUGAAUGAGAAUUAGAAGAGGUUAAGAAUACUGGAAAGAAUUAGGUACUCAAUUCAGAAUAACAAGAAAGAUACUUGCAACAGACACAAGAUUUCUUCUUUUAAUCAAGCUACUCUUUGAGUAAAUUUUCAUUUUUAUUAAUUUGUAUACUAUAGCUCUCAUAUCAGAACCUUUAUAUUCCACAAAACCUUUUUAGACAGUAAGGGAUGAAGUAUGUAGUAGAUGCAAACUGAAGUAGACAAAUUCUGAACAAAGUCCUGUGUUCCCUUAACCUUACUAUUGUUUGUUUCCAAUAAGACCAAUGACUCAGAAGACCAAUCUCCAAAAUAUAAUGCUACUUAAACUAAUUGAUGACAUUUAAUGUGAAUACAAGGUUUUUUGUUCCUAUGAAGAUAAUUGCAUAAUUGUAUUAAUACAUGUAAUUAUACUUAAGUAUCAGAAUCUGGACUUUUUUUUUUCUAUUCCUUUCUUGACUUCUGUUGUCUCUGCAGCUUUUCCACUUCCUGCCCUGAUAAAAGAAUAGUUCCCAUUAUAGAAAUGCUCAUAAAACAUUGCUUUACUGUAUGCAAAUCAGCAAUGAAUCUUGGAUGCUCACAGGAAAGAACAAGACACCUAAACUGCGCUUAUGCUGUUACAGCACAUAAGUGCACUUUCAAGAAAAGUCUGUAGUUAUCCAAAGAGGGCUAGCUAAGUCCUCCUUUGUGUAGGAGACUGCUUGAAAAUGGGUAUUUUCCCUGCCCUUUACUUAGAUUGUUGAGGGCUCUGCCAGCACUAAAUGCAUUCAGUGGUCUCUCUCCUUUGGUUUGAAUUGUUCUGCAGGUUCUCAGGCAGCAGAAACAGAUCAGCUGGUAUUGCUGGUGACUGACUGUCUGAUAACCCUGAAAGCCAAAUUGGUGUCUGACAUGGAACACACAUUUUGUGUACAUGUCUAUAUGAAGAACAAAGUAGUUUAUCCCCAUGAUAAGCAAAAGAAAGAAAACCAGACUCGAAGUAUAGGCUGGGAUGCUUAGGAGAGGACGUCAGCCAGCACAUUGAAGCUCCUUACUAAAACUAGCCAUCGUGGCAUUCGGUCCAUGAAGCUGAGAUGGAUGAGGAGCUGCACAGCACACCAGAGCCUCUGGCUACAUCUCACUCACCAUCAGGAGAAUCAGGAUUGGACUGUGACUUGAACGAAGUCUGCAACUUGGUCGCAGGCUUGAAGGAGGCAGAGACUACUUGUCAUGUGCUUGCACAUAAGAAAGAUGAAAGAGAUAUUUACAGGUAUUGCCAGCCUGGAAAAUUUCAAUAAUAAAAUUGUACUCAAAUCAGUGAUUUAUUUUUUUUCUGUUAUAGUUGCUUAUUUGAUUGCCAUUUCCCUACUUCAAUGUGCAGAGAAUUUAGGGCAGGUUUGCAAAUUUACUUUGACACUACAAAGGCUAGAUUUUUUUGUUGUUGUUGAAUAAACCCUAAUGUAAAGAUUUUUAUGCAGUCACUGAACUCCAGGAACUAUAGAUUUAAGAAAGAUUUAUAGCACACUGGCUAUAAAAACUUAAAAAGUGGGAUAAGCAAAUGUUUUGCCUUUGUGUUUUCUCUCUUUUCAUAGCAGGUAGUCAAACUGAAAGGCAAAUCCUUAAAGCUCUGGAAUUAGUAAUAUACAAGUAACACUAUAAUCCUGUCAACAGUUUUAUCUUUUGCACAACUUCCUAGAUCAGCCAGGAAGUACUGUUUUAAGUUUUCUCCACAUUUUUAUUAUCAGCUGGGACAUAGAAAGUGAUGCAAAGGAGUAAGCAAGGGAACUUUACCUUUCAUAAAUUUGUUCCUUUCAAUAUCUGUGUAGCAUAGUGUGAGCAAUUUCAUAGAAAUUAUGUGUUUUUAAAGAAAAUAUUUUACUUCUGUCUUUAAUUAAUGUGUCCGAUUGUAAGUUGAGGUAGAACAUUCAUGUUACAAAUAAAACCAGAGUUGUAUUUACAGUAUUUGGUCUAGAUCUCAACUUUAUCACACCUAGGAACCAAAACAAGAACACACAGAGGAAAAGAAUAUUCUUUUUUCAUUUUUUUCUGGCAUCUUUUCCAAGA
Passer domesticus (house sparrow) is the source of this 3259-nucleotide long non-coding RNA. RefSeq lists it as uncharacterized. The transcript has 4 exons. The record is from RefSeq and is a predicted model, not a curated record. Lineage: Eukaryota; Metazoa; Chordata; Aves; Passeriformes; Passeridae.